GCGGACUUAGCUCAGUUGGGAGAGCGCCAGACUGAAGAAACAAAUCAGUCAAACAGCUAAUCUGGAGGUCCUGUGUUCGAUCCACAGAGUUCGCA
Molecule: transfer RNA, 95 nt
Filed under: Geotrichum candidum
Lineage: Eukaryota; Fungi; Ascomycota; Dipodascomycetes; Dipodascales; Dipodascaceae
Description: tRNA-Phe
Rfam family: tRNA
About the family: Transfer RNA (tRNA) molecules are approximately 80 nucleotides in length. Their secondary structure includes four short double-helical elements and three loops (D, anti-codon, and T loops). Further hydrogen bonds mediate the characteristic L-shaped molecular structure. tRNAs have two regions of fundamental functional importance: the anti-codon, which is responsible for specific mRNA codon recognition, and the 3' end, to which the tRNAs corresponding amino acid is attached (by aminoacyl-tRNA synthetases). tRNAs cope with the degeneracy of the genetic code in two manners: having more than one tRNA (with a specific anti-codon) for a particular amino acid; and 'wobble' base-pairing, i.e. permitting non-standard base-pairing at the 3rd anti-codon position.
Source: RNAcentral